Solanum pennellii is the source of this 3303-nucleotide RNA transcript. RefSeq lists it as uncharacterized. The transcript is spliced from 6 exons. NCBI's taxonomy places the organism in Eukaryota, Viridiplantae, Streptophyta, Magnoliopsida, Solanales, Solanaceae. The record is from RefSeq and is a predicted model, not a curated record.
GAUGAAGUGGUAUAGGGCUGUAGGCUACUAUUUUCACUGUUCCUCCUUUUUCUUUUUUUCUACAAAUGUUCCUCUUUUCUCCUUCUCUCUCUCUUAAUUAAUAUAAUAAAAAAACAAAACUUAUAAAUGUAACGUACAAAAUGGCAACUUUUCUCUACCUUCACCUUAAAAUCACCAAACCCCCCUAAAAUCAAACAAAUAAUCAACACCUCACUUCCCUAAAUUCACUCACAAAGAAGGAAAUACAUAUAGGGGCAACAAAAAUUUCCAAAAAAUAAUAUCCAACCCACUUCUCCAAUACUCAAUUUUUCAACAAUCCCAGAUAAUUAAAAACAUAAAAUAGCUCAUAUCCAACUGGAAAAAAAUCAAGAUAAUAUGACAUUCAAAGUCCCAAAAAAAGCUGAACAUUGAUUCAGAUCACAUGCUUUGUUGUCUUGAUUUUACAAAGCAAAAACUUGGAAGCACCAAACACUGUGGAAGGGAUGAAGAGAGGAUAGCAGGAACUGAAACGACACCGCAAGGACGCGUCUAGCGCUAAUUGAGCGGACGAAAACGAUGGCGUAUGAAGAAGUUAAGGGCAAAAAUUAUCAUGGGAAAAUUUUCAUCCAACCUUUAAACAACUCUUCAUCUUCUCCUCUUCUCAACAGAGAUAGUCCAAGUUCAAGUUUGUGUAGUCUCCUGUUGUUUAAAUUACAGAAUUUUGACUUCGUUGUGGUGGUUAGUUGCUCCGUAUUUCACUUGUCUCUCGAUGUGUGGUAGCACAUCACCAGAAAAUUUGUCUGCGACCGUCACGCCUGCUAGGGACCGUCGAAAGCAUCCACUGUGCCCAGGUAAGUUUUUCCAUUUUUCUAAAUUAGGGCAUCCAUGAUGGAUCAUCACACCUGUGAUGUACCAUCGACGGGGACUCAUCGCAUCAAUACCCGUAAACCCGACCCCACCCGACUGGAAAAUAUUAAAAGUUUUUAAACCUUUUAACUUCCCACCUCUUCAUUCUAAUCGUUUCUGUCCCUCACUUCCCCCAUUUACUCCCUCUUCAACUCCCUUACACUCUCUUCCUCUCCCCAAACCAUCAGAUUCCCCAUCCUUUCAAAAAUUCCCCUAAUAUUCCCUCUUCCAAUCUCCCUGCUUCUUCAAGUAAUCUGCCGGUCGGAGUCAAUUGUUCUCUGCUGAUCACCAGAGUUGUGUGCCUUACUUUGUUUUCAUCUUCUCAAAAUAUCAGGUACUAACAUUUAUGGCACCAAAGCUAGAUCGCGUGUACACAGAAGGGCAUUCAAAGUCUGUCGCACCAUCUGCCCGACUGGUCAUUGGCUCUGACAAUGAGCGUGACCCCGAAUACUUGCCCCCAGGCACUGUCACUCUUGCACGGGCUGCACGUACCACUAGAGCCACCCCCAUGAAGUUGGGGACCGGCGUAGCCACUGCCUCCCAGUCUGAAGAAGAGCGCAUACUUACUGACACUCCUUCUAGGUCUUCUACACACUCCAGCGAUGCUUUCGGUUGUGAGGAGGCUUCUGCUCCACACACUGCAUCACAGUACGCCUCGUCUGAUGAGGACGAUAGUGUUGAUUCCACUCCAGCACCACUGACUGGAGUCCCCGCCCCGAUUGCCGACAAUCCCAACCGGUGGUGUGUUGAGGGACAGUUUCAGGUGUACAUAGAGGCUAAGUUGCCGAAUGAUUAGGGGGUUAUGACCCGGACCCUUACACUGGAGAGACGGGUCCUUACGGGGAGUCUCCCCACCAUGCCGGCAAUCCAUGCCCUCUUCACCAGGCACCGGCUAGAAUAGACGGCUAGUGAUGUGGGACAAUACAGUAAGGAGUUGGUCAGAGAGUUCUACGCCUCGUAUGUGCUGACUCUCCGAUCCCAGAUAGACAAGUGGGCUGCCCCCGCCAAACAGGCCCCGCUAGAGCACAUCCGAGCCCAUGGCAAGCGGGUAGACAUCUCCUUGCCAGCCAUCCAUAGGUAUCUAUAUGGCGAGAAUGUUGAUGCCACCAGGAUUCCUCUCACCGCCGAGUUCGACUGCUAAUGGAACUGGUUAAAGAUGGACAUUUCUUGCGUGAGCCAGAGUUGAAAGAGACCACCAAGAGGUUGAUUGCCCGGUACUUGUCUGUUGAUGAAGAGGCUGCUGAUUGGGUACUUGAGCCGAAGGGAGCCAUCAAGAAGGCUAACCUGACCUUCACGGCCAAGUUUUUCUGGUUGAUAGUCUGCCACUUCCUUUCCCCCACUGCUGCAAACAAUAUUGUGACUUGGGAUCGCGCAGUUCUGAUUGCAGCGAUGAUAGCAGGGUUCGAUGUGGACUUUGGUUGGCUUCUUCAGGAGGUCAUGCACGAGAGGGCCUUCAAGGUCACUACUACUUACCCAUUUUAGUGCAUGGUGUUUCCUUUGUGCAGGUCCGCAGUUGUGCCUACUUGGCACAUCGAUUAGAUCAAGACCCCACCGGGCACUGUUGAUAUAGGCCUUAUCAGGGAUGAGGCCAAUGAGUUGGUUUCCACACAGAGGGCCGCGACCGAAGUACCUCCGCUUGGUUAGAAGUUGGUAGACACUGUAGAGCAAGCCCAAGCAGCUACCCAAGCUACUUCUGAGCCUAUUGACACCACCCCGGUUGAGUCUAACCCGGGUGGUAGCACCGCUCCGAGAUCCUCUUUCUCGACUCCCUCCGCCACUCUGGUCCCACUUGCUAGGGUCCAGAAACUUGAGGCCCAAAUGGCCACUCUUCUACAUCACAUCCAACCUUGGAUGCAAAGGUCUAUUACUGAGGCGGAGGAGCGCAUGGAGCAGAAGAUGGCCCAAUACAGAGAGAGGAAGAUCAUGGAGGUUCAUCAGCGCCUGGACGCUUUUGAGUUGCGUGUGCUAGCCUGUUCAUCCCUCCAGUGGACGUGUUGACCCUUCAGGCUGCUGUAGAGAGUCUGAGAGUGGACCCGGACAUGAUUCUAAAGGCUAGGGUGCCCGAGUCUGAGACCCCUUCUGCAGAGCCCGCCGAGGAUACUAUUUUGGCGGCCCUAUUCUCCACUGCUGCAGUGCCACAACCUCCACCACGAGAGCAUGCCAAGAGUCGUAGAGGUCGGAAUGAGGAUGAGGCUAGGGCACAGAAGAGGGAGUGACGAGAGUUGGAGGCUGUGAGGAGAGCCUCGAUUGCUGAUAAGGAGGCCCGUCAGUUAAGGGCGAUUGAGUUGGCUACUGGGGCGUCUAGCUCCAGAGUUAUUGAGGUAGAUAAGAGCACUACUGAUGGUGCUGUGAUUGUUGAGAGAGGCACUACUGAGGGUGUUGUCUAUGAUGAGGACACUACUGAGGGUGUCCAGACUA